RNAcentral lists this ribosomal RNA (323 nucleotides) under Trichormus variabilis CG4. Its description in RNAcentral is "bacterial SSU rRNA". It matches the Rfam family "Bacterial small subunit ribosomal RNA", at positions 139 to 493 of the family's 1533-position model. The record is from RNAcentral. Lineage: Bacteria; Bacillati; Cyanobacteriota; Cyanophyceae; Nostocales; Nostocaceae.
GGGGACAACCACGUGGAAACGGUGGCUAAUACCGGAUAUGCCGAACGGUGCAAGAUUUAUUGCCUAGAGAUGAGCUCGCGUCUGAAGCUAGUUGUGGUGUGGUAAGAGCGCACCAAGGCGACCAUCAGUAGCUGGUCUGAGAGGAUGAUCAGCCCCACUGGGACUGAGACACGGCCCAGACUCCUACGGGAGGCAGCAGUGGGGAAUUUUCCGCAAUGGGCGAAAGCCUGACUGAGCAAUACCGCGUGAGGGAGGAAGGCUCUUGGGUUGUAAACCUCUUUUCUCAGGGAAUAAUAAAGUGAAGGUACCUGAGGAACCUAGAU